UGUGGUGAGUAGUUGACUCAAAGAGAAAGAAAGACAACAGAAAGACAACAAAUUCAUUUAUUCCAAAAUGAUGGAGAAGCACUUUCACAGCUAGCAAAUUUAUCCUACUGAAGAGAAACUUGGUCAGUUGUACAACUGAAUGUCUUCCGCAUUUAACCCAACCCCUCUGAAUCAAAGGUGUGCAGGGGCUGCGUUAAUUGUCAUCCACUUCUUCAACACCCAGUGAACAGUGGGUUAACUGCCUUGCUCAGGGGCAGAACAACAGAUUUUUACCUUUCAGCUCAGGGAUUUGAUCUGGCAACCUUUCGGUUACUGGCCCAACACUAACCACUAGGCUACCUGCCACCCCACUGAAACACACUGCUUAAACAGAGCUGACUAUGACCUUUCAACACAACAAUGGAACUCUUCCAAGUCAAGGAGAGAACCACACCUUUGCCGUGGCAAUCUCCAGGAUGUGACGUUCCCACGGAAGUCCUGUGGUCACUGACGCCAAGAGAGGUGUGAAGACUGAUGAAAACUUUAAUCAACAAAAUGGAAGCUGUGAUAUUCUGUUUGUCGGACGGCGGUCAGUUCGAAGAGGAACGACACAGGUGCGCUCCUACAGUAUCAUACAGUUUUGGGGUGUGGUGAUUACUUUAGAGAAUUUCUCAUUUGUAAUUUUUAUGCCUUUUGUUUUAAUGUUUUGGGCCAUGCAAAGUGAUGCUAAUUAGACGAUA
Salmo salar (Atlantic salmon) is the source of this 719-nucleotide non-coding RNA. The record is from RefSeq and is a predicted model, not a curated record. NCBI's taxonomy places the organism in Eukaryota, Metazoa, Chordata, Actinopteri, Salmoniformes, Salmonidae.